Long non-coding RNA from Daktulosphaira vitifoliae (grape phylloxera), 1016 nucleotides. RefSeq lists it as uncharacterized. Lineage: Eukaryota; Metazoa; Arthropoda; Insecta; Hemiptera; Phylloxeridae. The record is from RefSeq and is a predicted model, not a curated record. The transcript has 2 exons.
GGUUGUACUUUUUCUUAAUACUUAACUUGGGAGCAAAUGCCAGAAAGUUAAUUUUUAAAUAAAUUUAAGGAUUUAAAAGGAUUAUUAUCACUAUAAAAUAAAUAUUAUGUAACAUAGUAAUAGUAUUUUUGCACUAUGUCUAGACUACAGCUGAAUAUAAUAGUUUAUUUGAAACUAUUAAAUUUUAUUUUAUAUAAUUCAGAAAUGAUUUUUGAAGAAAAAAAAAUGUUUACAAUACGUCUGUUAUACAACCGUUUUUGCACCAAUGAAGAAAAACAUUAGUUUAAUAAAAUUGUUUCUAUUUUAAUGAUUAGUAGAUAUCGAAAUUUAAUUUUAUCUAGAAAAAUCGGGGAAUGUCCACACCGAUAUUCAGUCGUCAAGGUUCGGCUUAUCGAUGGAACAUUAAACUUUGGCGGGUGCCUAUUUUCACAGAUUGUAAAUAGAAAUCUCAGUGUAUUCUAUAAAUUACUGUGCAGUCAGCACCGUGCGACCAUAUGUAGUUUGAACUACGUUCUCACAACCAUGUCUUUACAAAUUUAAAUAAUUCUUUAUUAAAAAUUAAUAUUUUUUUAUCAUAAUAUCCCAAUGACUACUCUAUAAGAUUACAAAUUUGACCACUGGAUUGUAUCAUUAAUCUCAGUUAUCGUUUUACAUUUUUCGAAAAAAAAAGUACUAACAAUGGCAGAUUUAUUGGAAUGUAUCGUAGCCACCGGCAGUAGUGUCAGCCGCGACGAACUGAUUGAUUUUGGUACACCAGCGGAGAAAUCUCCAAAAAAAAAUUUAAAUAUGUAUAAAAAAUACAAAAAAAUCAAAAAAAGCUUUGGACGUGAAAUAACCAAACAUUUCAAGUUCAGUGAUGCUUUUUACGGGAAUCGGGUUACAUAUCCAGCAUUUUAAUAAGAAUUCAAUUAAAAAUUUCGAGUACGUCAUUGAAAAAAACUAAAAUUAUAAAUUUAUUACAUGUUACAAUUAAUUUAUGGACUAUGUUAUUGGUAUAAAUGUUUUGUAAUUUUACA